This 233-nucleotide long non-coding RNA is filed under the name Hordeum vulgare. RNAcentral's name for it is "long non-coding RNA (HVUL_LNC001340)". The record is from RNAcentral. Lineage: Eukaryota; Viridiplantae; Streptophyta; Magnoliopsida; Poales; Poaceae.
UUGAUAAACCUCGUGAAUGAUCGAAGACCACGUGGCCUGGAAGUAGUGGUAGACGAGGACUUAAUGGCCGACACACAGCUAGGCGUCGGAAACCUUUUGAUCAUGCCCGACACGACCGCUAGUGUACUCGUGGUCUAAGCCGACCACUUUGUACUAGUCGUCGACAAGUAAUUGCUCCAUGGUGUGGAUGGAGUUCUCCAUCCAGAUUGGGUCAUUUGUGUACACCCUUGAGA